RNAcentral lists this long non-coding RNA (7146 nucleotides) under Mytilus galloprovincialis (Mediterranean mussel). The record is from RNAcentral. Lineage: Eukaryota; Metazoa; Mollusca; Bivalvia; Mytilida; Mytilidae.
GUUCCGAUAAAAUUGUUUUUGCAGGAAUAGAUCGAGUACAUAUAUAAACUUUAUUUUCCAGCGUCUUGUGCGGACAGUACGUUGAUAAGUUGCAACUCAGGUUUAUGUGGUAAUGCAAAUUUAAAGGCAGUAUGUCCAAUGACUUGCGGUACAUGCCCUGCUGGUAAGUGAAACUGUUAACUAAUUAGUAUGGUACGUAUAGUGAAUCUGGACAACUACUUAAAUAAAUAUACCAUAUAUGUACGUUGUCGGAAACUAUGAAAUGUAUUUGUACAAGCUUUACAAACGAAAAACAGGCUCUCUUUUACUCUCAAGUUUAAAGUACAAAUACGUUUUAUAUUUCCGACAGUUUACAUAUUCUUUUUCAUCCUCAAAUUUACAACCGGCAUUUGUUGUAUAAUAACAAAUAGUUUUUUGUAAGAUUUUUCAUAGAUAUUGACAGAUUAAACGCAGACUGGAAAGAUUAUUCAAAAUAAACUGUUACGCGAACUAAAUAAUAAUUCAUCGCUUGCUCAAAUAUCGAAGCGGGGUAACAUUAGAAUUUAUUUGUAAAAGUUAAAAAGUAAAAACAAAGAAAACAACUAUUUGUGUAUCCUGUUGACAGAUACAUCUUCAUGAGCAUACGAUACAUAGCUGGACCAUCAAGAUGUUCGUCUAAACAUUUUUUUAAGGGUUGACUACAUUCUUUCUACUGUCAAAGAUGACCUUCAAAAAUAUUGUGAUAAGAUAUAUUUAACCAGUUGUGUCAAUCGGAUGUGCAUUCUCAAAAAUUCUAAAGAUCUACCGCUAAAUCUUAGGUCACAAUCUCUUUUGUUUUUCUAAGCUUUACACCACUAUUCCCCGUGUUUAAUUAAAGAUCGACUUCACCAUAAUCAUAAAACAGAGCGUUUUCUAUAAAAAUAGGGAUCGUAGAUAUGAUCUUUUUUACUUUGAGCUAUAUUGAUUUUUAAUUUGUGAAGAACCACACUGAUUCUAGUCUAUGAUAGACUUUUUAAUCAACAAUGUAUUUAUGAGUUUAGAGGAUUGAUAUUUCAACUGACAGAAGGUAUUCCAAUGGGUACUACUUGUGUAUCCCUUCUGGACGACUCGUUUUUGUACUCGUAUGAAGCAGAAUUAUUUCAAAGCCUCUGAAGAAAAAAAAGAAAAGCACUUAGAGUGCAAAAUUCUUUUAUUCUAAUUACAGAUGAAUUACAGGUGUCGUAUCAAUGAAUACAGAGGAUUCAUUAAUAUUCAAUGUUUCCAGAUGUGUUGUGGAUUUCGUGGUUACAUUUGAACCACGAGUUUAAAUGUUCAACAAAGUAGAAAAAAAUAUAUAUUGGCAUGUUUCUAGACUUUAGAAAAACCACGAACAAAUAUUCACGAAAAUACAAUAUUCCUCAUACCACGAAAAUUAGUAUCUGCGAAAAUCAUUCAAAUUAACCCAUAUUUCAGUCAGUACUUGUAUCUCAUUUAUGCCAGUUAAAUUAAAAUUAAGGACUGAUUCAUACCAUGAUCUUUUCAUCAAUUUUGGCAUAUUCCCGAAUAUGACUGUUGUACUGAGUGUGAAUUUGCAUUGCGAUACGACAUGUCUCGGUAUUUAAUACAUCCAACAUUCCUGUAUUUAUUUUUGAUGUUUAUGUAAUGGUUUCGGUUGGAUAAUGUGUUAUAAGUUAUGGUUUGUUGUCAAAAUAAUUAUAAAAUAACCUUCAAUUCCGUCAUUGCCAUUAUAAUUGUGCGUCACUGUUUGUGUUAUCAUAUAAUCGUCGUUGAUGAAAUAUGUCAGUUUAAGUUCUGCGCUUUGUAUGUUAUAUCGACUAUCAUAUUAUUUGUUCGUGUGUUUCCUGAUGAUAAUUUUUCUUGAGUGUGUUUGUGCUGUAUUUCUGUCUCGCAGUGUUGUCAUUUUCGCGAUAUUUUUCAGCAUAUUUACAUGUUGGUCUAUGAAACUUAAAAUAACAUUAUUUUAGUGAACAAUAGCUGAGAUGACACAGAUGUGUCAAGCAUGGUUGAGCCGUUAGAGAAAAAGGACAAGAAGUCCAAAUAACAUAAAGACAAACAAAACCUUGAGAGCUUUUUUAUAAAUUUAUGUGAAAACAAAAGAAGGACGAAAGAUACCAAAGGGACAGUCAAACUCAUAAAUCCAAAACAAACUGACAACGCCAUGGCUAAAAAUGAAAAAGACAACAAACAACAGCACAACGACACAAAUAGAAAACUAAAGAAUAAACAACACGAACCCACCAAAAAACUAGGGGUGAUCUCAGGUGCUCCGGAAGGGUAAGCAGAUCCUGCUCCACAUGCAGCACCCGUCGUGUUGCUUAUGUGAUAACAAAUCCGGUAAAUAGUCUAAUUCGUUAGGUCAUAUUCAUGAAAGGGAAGGGGAUUGUAGUUACGACGUAAGGAACAUAUCUGAUAUCAUUUGUGAAACGGUUAUUCAAUAACGGUCAACCAACUCGUGAUGGCGUCCGUAAAAUUUAAGAAGGGAUGAUUUCAACUUCACCAUUUGGAACUCUUGGUUUAAUAGCUUCCUUGAAAAUGACGAUGAGCAUGAUUGUCUUAUUAUCAACUUAGUCUCGAUUGUUUUGAACAUGUUCAAAGUUGGCCACGCUGAUUACGAUCACGCAAAACUCACGACAACCGUACUAUACUACGAACUUACUGCGAUCUGCACGAUCGCAUUAUGAUCUCCAAAAUUUUCAUGGUUUUCACAGAUCGUAGUUCGAUGGUGGCCUAGUGGGACUGCGGUAUUAGAAUGUGGUUUACUAUUUAUGUCUUCUGAUCUUUUAGUUACCGAACGUGACCUAUUCCCGAAUAUUACUGUUUUGCUCAGUGUAAAUUCGCAUUGCUAUAAGACAUGUCUCUGCAUUAGUUUUGAGCUAUGAUGGUUUUUUUUAGUAAUUCUGAUCGAAUAUUGUUUUUACAAAUUGUGUCUUGGAUGGGGAUAUGUCUCAAUUGGCACACAUGCCAUAACUUCUUAUAUCUAUAUAUCUAUAUAUGAACUUGUUCUCGUCCUGAAUAUGCAUGAAAUAUUUGCCACUGGACGUUAAGCAACCAACAAACAAUCAAUCAAUCUUAUAUCUAUAAACACUAAUUAAGGAUACCUGCAGGCGGAUACUUUGUAAGCCAGUCUUAUAAAGAUGAAAAGCGCGUCUGGCGUAUCAAAUUAUAAGCCUGGUACCUUUGAUAACUAUUUACACCACUAGGUCAAAACUAAUGGUGGAAAUUUCGAACCCGAGAGUAUCACCUGCCCAGUAGUUAUCACUUCGGUGUUGACAAUAAAUAUCAAUCAUUGGUAAUUUUUAUAAAUUUAAUGUUUGCAAAAGUAUGAGUUAAUCGAAUUACUAAGGACUUUCUUACUCCAGGAAUAGAUAAUUAUGUUAGCCGUAUUUGGCACAAGUUUUGAAAUUUUGCAAUCGGAGGACGCGUUUUAGAGCAAACAAUCGAUAUUUCUCUUUGAGCAAACUGUCUUCCUUGUCUUGUGGAGCUGUACCCUUAUUCAUUUGAGGCAGACUUCAAAUCUUUUAACUUCCAGUUUGUUUUGCUGAAUAAAUGAUGUCCUCGUAUCUUGACUUACAUCUAGAAAUUGACAAUGAGGGUCGAUUGAAAAGAAAACAAAAAUUUACGACAAAAGAGAUGAUUUCAGCUUUCCAAUUGUAAACUUUCCAUUUCUAAGUAGCAACAUGUCAGCAGCACCUGCAUACGGGUAUAGUUCUCCCAAUUGAUACGAUUUCCGUGCUUGCAUUUCCUAUCAUGAUUUCUUGAUAGAGGGUUGCUGCUCACAAGAAAGCUAUUAAACCAAGAGUUCCAAAUGGGGAAGUUGAAAUCAUCCCUUCGUAAAUUUUACGGACGCCAUCACGAGUUGGUUGACCGUUAUGGGAAUAAACGUUUCACAAAUGAUUAUCGGAUAUGUUCCUUACGUCGUAACUACAAUCUCCUUCCCUUUCAUGAAUGUGACUACCGAAUUAUACUAUUUACGGAUUUGUUAUCACAUAAAGCAACACGACGGGUGCACAUGUGGAGCAGGAUCUGCUUACCUUCCGGAGCACCUGAGAUCAUCCCUAGUUUUUUGGUGGGGUUCGUGUAGUAACUUUGUUGAACGUUUUAUGACAAAGACGGUCGAUUGAAACAAACCUAAGAAUAAAAUUGUAGAUUUCAGCAGCCUCCCAAUUUUAAAAUUUCCUUAUCUAUGAAACCAUAUUCAAGCAGCGUCUGUAUACGGAGUCUUUUCUCUUAGGUUAUCUGAUAUUGGAGAUCUUGCGUUUUCGCAUCAUAAUUCCAUCGAUAGACGAUUGCAGCUUACAAGAAAGCUGUUAAACCAUGGAUUUUAGGUGAAAUAAGCAUCCUUUCUCACGUUUCGAAAAACUAAGGACUUUCUUAUCCCAGGAAUAAAUAACCUUAGCUGUAUUUGGAACAACUUUUUGGAAUUUUGGGUCCUCAAUGCUCUUCAACUUUGUACUUCUUUGGCUUUAUAACUUUUUUUUAUCUGAGCUUCACUGAGGAGUCUUAUGUAGACGAAACACGCGUCUGACGUAUUAAAUUAUAAUCCUAGUACCUUUGAUAACCAUUUGCGUCUUACUGACGAUAUGCGAAUAGCGUAUUCCGUUAUUAAAUAUCUGUAUCACAACUUGAAUCCCGUUCUCUAAUCCCCGAUCGUGACAUCACCAAAUGAGAUAUAUAACAGAAUGUGUAUUUAUCAUGAGAAAUACGAAGGUGCGAGUAGUGAAGAUCGAUUUGAUGACACUCCCAUAGAUCUGGGAUAGUUUUGGUAGUGUCCGUGUUGAUCUUUUUUAUACUUUGAUCAGAAGUGUUUUUGUAUAUGUUCGGCUUUUCUUUUAUUUCAGGCAUGACAGUUUCUAAUUUUCUUUCCUUUUUUAAAUUCAUAUUGUUAGGGAGCAACCAUUCAACUUCAAAGUUGGGGGGUGGGGGUCGGGGCUAUGUUUUUUGGUUUGAGUCACAACAUUUUUUUGCGCAAACAAUUUUAUUUAGUUUUCAACGCAAUGAAUUAAAUUAUUUUGUUAAAAGUUUAAGACUAUAGGUAAUGGGUAAAUCUGAAUUUGGAAUAUUUGUUUGUACUCUGCAUGAACAGAAUAUAUUAUGUUUUGUUCAUCAAAUUGGGAAAAUGGAAAUCAGAAUAUUUUUUUUAUGAAAAAAGCCCCCUACCCUCCCCCCCCCCCCCCCCCAAUCCUUUUUAAAAUUGUUUGAUAUUUUUAAAUUCUGGAAAUUAAGUCACUUUUACUGAAAAUAUAUCAUAUAUUGAAUGAACUACUUUCAGCAUCAUGCAAGGACAACAGCCUUAUCCAUUGCAUUCCAACUUUAUGCGCUAUUCCUAUUUAAAAGCUGAAUGUCCACAGACAUGUGGGUCCUGCAGUAAGUACCGUAACUUUAAUUGUUUAUUGCGAAUUUUGUCAACGAUAAUUUUUGUCUCAAGAAUUCUGAAUGAAAAAAGAAGAUGUUUUUUUACUUUAAAGAAAUAAUUUUUAGUAUAUAAUAUUUUCUUUUCUAUAAUGCAGCAUGUCACAAUUUGCAACAUUCUGUGUGGUUUUUUGAAAAAAACGUGCACCUGAGCACUGUGAUUGGUUAGGUAUGCAUUGUUGUUUUAGAUACUAUAAUUAGCUUUGAGUGACAUCAAACUUUUAACAUGAGAUAAAAAAUAAUAAAAAAAAGGAAAUUUACGGUUUUGGCAAAAGUCUGCUAAUCUAUAAUUAAGGUAAUGAUUUAAAAGAUUAAAAAGGAUGCUACACCAUAGGAUAGAAAUCCAUUCAGGAACCUUUAUAGAUGUACGACUACACACUUAAUAACACAGAUGGACGACUUAACACUAAAAUCUAUGACAAACGGGAUGAUUUCAACUUCCCAAUUAUUAAUUUCCUCUUUCUCAGCAGCAGUAACAACCCCUCUGUUCAGUCGUAUGGUGUGUACUUAUCUCAAUUGAUACGUUAUGCGCAUGCAUGUUCACACUAUACUGACUUUAUAUACAGGAGUGUGCUCCUUAGGCAGAAACUGCUCUAACAGGGGCCGAAAGAUUAAAAAUUACACUUCAUGUUAUUUCUUUGUUUUCCUCUUAAAGUUGACGUGUUUCCCUUAGUUUUGAUUAGUAAACGUGAUUUGUUUUCUCUUAAUCGAUUUAUGACUUUUGAACACCGUUAUACUACUGUUGUCUUUAUUUAUAGCAAUGGCAGUUGUGAUGUUCUUUUUUUAAAAGCAUUACCAAAAUGCAUUAGAAUCUCACACACAUAAUAGCAGGUUUUCACGAUAUUUGAAACGAGCUUCUGGUAAUUACAACGUUGAGGAAAUUAUUGAACAAAUUGAUGCAUAUAUACUUAACUAAGUCGUCUAUGUAUCCUAUUCUAAAUAUAUUUUUCAUAAUGGUUGUUACAUGAUUUGGUGUAUUAACUUUUUUCUUUCAGAAUCGAUUUAUUCUUUAUACAUAGCUUCCAUUUUUGUUUUAUGUUGUCUUACAUCACAAUUUGCACUUGCGAUACUAGUAUGUGGUUGUUGUUGUGGUUGUUAAACGAGUAGGGUCAUGGUUAAGGUUAUUGCAUACGAACAAGCUGUCGUCGAAUACGGAUACGGGAAGACAACAAUUCAAUUGCAGUUUUAUUUUGAAGAUUUGAAGAAAAUACAGAAUUUUAUUUUAAAAGAAUGUCCAUAUACACGUGUUUUAUAGCAAAACUUAGACAUUCAAGUAUGUAAACAUAUUUUAAUUUUAUUUUAUCAUACGGUAAAUGUAUACAGAAUAACUUAAAGAAAGAUUUUUUUUAUCAAAUAGUCACUAAUAAACUAUUCAGCCUUCUUAUGAUUUAAUGCAUUAUUGUAUUUGUUUUUUUUUUCUUACUGAUUUGAAAAUUACUAUACAAAUUGAUUUCAAUGGAUUUUAUUUUAAUUUCAGAUUCAGGAUAAUAUAUUAAAAUCUUAUUCAUAUUGAUUUGUUAUUUUGCAAUGAUACCAUCAUCUUUAAAUACAAAUUCCACUAAAAUGGGUUAAAAGAAUAAUUGGAAAUAGCGUCUUGGAGACAACAACAAAAAUAUACUUGUUGUUCUUGUUUUAUUAUUAUAGCAACGUUUUUAGCAUACUAGUAUGUUGUCAAACACUGCAUUGCAGAGAUUAAGUAUUACAACAUAGAUCAGGCUAUCGGUAAACACUGAUGGGACACAUAUAUAAUAUGUUUCC